RNAcentral lists this ribosomal RNA (654 nucleotides) under Pseudomonas sp. SCW-8. Its description in RNAcentral is "bacterial SSU rRNA". It matches the Rfam family "Bacterial small subunit ribosomal RNA", at positions 60 to 709 of the family's 1533-position model. The record is from RNAcentral. Lineage: Bacteria; Pseudomonadati; Pseudomonadota; Gammaproteobacteria; Pseudomonadales; Pseudomonadaceae.
AGUCGAGCGGAUGAGUGGAGCUUGCUCCAUGAUUCAGCGGCGGACGGGUGAGUAAUGCCUAGGAAUCUGCCUGGUAGUGGGGGACAACGUUUCGAAAGGAACGCUAAUACCGCAUACGUCCUACGGGAGAAAGUGGGGGAUCUUCGGACCUCACGCUAUCAGAUGAGCCUAGGUCGGAUUAGCUAGUUGGUGAGGUAAAGGCUCACCAAGGCGACGAUCCGUAACUGGUCUGAGAGGAUGAUCAGUCACACUGGAACUGAGACACGGUCCAGACUCCUACGGGAGGCAGCAGUGGGGAAUAUUGGACAAUGGGCGAAAGCCUGAUCCAGCCAUGCCGCGUGUGUGAAGAAGGUCUUCGGAUUGUAAAGCACUUUAAGUUGGGAGGAAGGGCAGUAAGUUAAUACCUUGCUGUUUUGACGUUACCAACAGAAUAAGCACCGGCUAACUUCGUGCCAGCAGCCGCGGUAAUACGAAGGGUGCAAGCGUUAAUCGGAAUUACUGGGCGUAAAGCGCGCGUAGGUGGUUCGUUAAGUUGGAUGUGAAAGCCCCGGGCUCAACCUGGGAACUGCAUCCAAAACUGGCGAGCUAGAGUAUGGCAGAGGGUGGUGGAAUUUCCUGUGUAGCGGUGAAAUGCGUAGAUAUAGGAAGGAACAC